GGACAGGAACUCAGAUCUGAGAACAUCUUCAAUCAUAACCCAUCCUAUCAAGUCUAAUCCAAACAUCAUAAGACUGAGAUACUGUUCCGAGUACAAUUUCUCAUCCUGGUAACAUCUUCGUCAAGUCACAGGUUGGGAAAUAUCUUACCAGAGUCACAAGGGGGAGAUUUCUAUAUUUCCUUCCAGCAACUCAUUUGCCAUUUAAGAAACAAGCUUUAAACUCAUAAAGUGACCGUGGAUUAUUUAGAAUUUAAUGAAUCCAUUUUCCCAAUACUGCUGAUUAGAAUCAGGAAUUCCUACACAGUUCUGUAUUAUUCUAUUCCAUCAAAACAUGUCACUGGCUUUGAAAAGCGUAUUUUGGGUAUCUAUUUUACAAAAGAUUUCUCAGCUACUUACCAGCUGCAUGCGCUCUGCUUCUCCACCAGCUCUGAGGCUGUCGCACUGAAGGGGGGGCGGGAAAGCGGCAGCAGCCACUUGAAAAUGAGCUGUGCUCUGAAGAAGGGAUUAGCUCUGUGGAAAGAAAUGAAAUGCCUUGGGAUUAUCCUCCAAUUCCUCCAAAAACACAGAAUCAUUUUAAGUAUCACAUGCUAAAAAGUACAUGCUCAUCACAGAACUGAUUUUAGUAGCAAAACUUCUUAUCUAAAACACAGUUAAAUUGCCUUGGUUUCCAGUGGAACCCCUACAAUGUCAUGGACUUUUGGCUCUCCCGUCUCCUGGCAACAGUCUCAUUAAUAUUUUUUUUUCUGCAGUGGUCCUACUAGGCAUCAGAGAACAUUGACAAGGUCUAGUCUCUGGUGGCAUUUUGUUGUUCAGUACGUGUUUUCCCCCACACAAGUAAUAAGGAGAGUCAGACAUUCAAUAACAUGUUCUCUAGAGGAAGAUUCUGGAUUGGAAUGCAUUCCAUUCAAAUGAUUUGUUCUGCCCUCCCUUGGUGCAGUGUUGCCAUUAGGCCCCUGACCUGAAGAUGGGUCUCAGCAAAAGAUGCCUAACUCCUUCUGCAAUCCUCCAAUUACACGCAGAAAUUCAGGCCCAGACCCAGUGUUGUUAUUAUCUACUCUGCUCAGAAAAAAAAUGCACAGAGUUCACCUGUGUCCUCAGCUCUAUCAUCAUGACCCCCACCUGUCAGCAUGGCUACUGGAGAGAAAGCUUUCCAUACUGACCAAUUGGAUGAUGUCGUUUUGUCAUGCGCCAUCUAGUGGUAAAAUACUGAUUUACCAUGAUUGAAGGAUCGUAAAGAACACAAGUUGACAACUGUUCCAUUAAAUAUUCCUAUAAUUUUAUUGUAACAAAUAAAAGUAUUAUUGUUGUUUAUAAAUACUGUUAA
This 1324-nucleotide long non-coding RNA is filed under the name Vulpes vulpes (red fox). RNAcentral's name for it is "lncRNA (ENSVVUG00000000088.1)". The record is from RNAcentral. Lineage: Eukaryota; Metazoa; Chordata; Mammalia; Carnivora; Canidae.